RNAcentral lists this unclassified non-coding RNA (724 nucleotides) under Hevea brasiliensis (rubber tree). The record is from RNAcentral. Lineage: Eukaryota; Viridiplantae; Streptophyta; Magnoliopsida; Malpighiales; Euphorbiaceae.
GGCGACGAAGAAAUCCGCGGCGAUCGCCGCGACAUGGGCGCCGCUCCUCCUCCUCCUCUCCUGCUUCCUCCUCCGCCCGGCCCUCGCGCUUCCGCCCGGGUCUGGUGAAGGAUACACGAUUACCGGUCGGAUCAAGAUCGACGGUAUUUCAUCAAAAGGAUUUGGCUUUCCUGCAAAACUAUCAAAUACCAAAGUCAUUCUCAAUGGUGGUCAGAGGGUUACGUUUCCGAGAGCAGAUGGUUAUUUUUCAUUCCACGAUGUACCUGCUGGGACUCAUCUUAUUGAAGUAGCUGCAUUGGGAUAUUUCUUUUCACCGGUUCGUGUUGAUAUCAGUGCUAGAAAUCCUGGUAAAGUACAGGCAGCACUAACGGAGAAUAGGAGAAUUCUGCAUGAACUGGUUCUAGAACCUUUAAGAGAAGAAUACUAUUAUGAGAUAAGGGAGCCUUUCUCCAUAAUGUCUCUACUAAAGAGUCCAAUGGGAUUGAUGAUGGGUUUCAUGCUUAUCAUGGUGUUCCUUAUGCCGAAAUUAAUGGAGAAUAUGGAUCCUGAAGAAAUGAAGCGAGCCCAAGAAGAGAUGAGGAACCAGGGAGUUCCUUCCCUAACCAGCUUGUUACCUGGGAGGAGCAAUUAAAACCUGGUUGCAUUUUGCUUCCAACUUGUCCGACUCCUAUAUUGCCUAGUUUUUCUUUUCAGGUUGCUGUAUCAAAGAAUUCAGUUAUAUAAG